CCUACGGGGGGGCAGCAGUGAGGAAUAUUGGUCAAUGGACGAGAGUCUGAACCAGCCAAGUAGCGUGAAGGAUGACUGCCCUAUGGGUUGUAAACUUCUUUUAUAAAGGAAUAAAACGAGGCACGUGUGCCUUUUUGCAUGUACUUUAUGAAUAAGGAUCGGCUAACUCCGUGCCAGCAGCCGCGGUAAUACGGAGGAUCCGAGCGUUAUCCGGAUUUAUUGGGUUUAAAGGGAGCGUAGAUGGGUUGUUAAGUCAGUGGUGAAAGUUUGCGGCUCAACCGUAAAAUUGCAAUUGAUACUGGCAGUCUUGAGUACAGUUGAGGUAGGCGGAAUUCGUGGUGUAGCGGUGAAAUGCUUAGAUAUCACGAAGAACCCCGAUUGCGAAGGCAGCUUACUAAACUGUGACUGACAUUGAUGCUCGAAAGUGUGGGUAUCAAACAGGAUUAGAUACCCCAGUAGU
This 460-nucleotide ribosomal RNA is filed under the name uncultured bacterium. RNAcentral describes it as "partial 16S ribosomal RNA". It matches the Rfam family "Bacterial small subunit ribosomal RNA", at positions 338 to 794 of the family's 1533-position model. The record is from RNAcentral.